RNAcentral lists this ribosomal RNA (324 nucleotides) under uncultured eukaryote. RNAcentral describes it as "partial 18S ribosomal RNA". It matches the Rfam family "Eukaryotic small subunit ribosomal RNA", at positions 1470 to 1796 of the family's 1831-position model. The record is from RNAcentral.
CCCUUAGAUGUUCUGGGCCGCACGCGCGCUACACUGACGAUGGCAACGAGUUUUUCCUUCGCCGAAAGGUGUGGGUAAUCUUUUGAAACAUCGUCGUGCUGGGGAUAGAUCAUUGCAAUUUUUGAUCUUGAACGAGGAAUUCCUAGUAAGCGCGAGUCAUCAGCUCGCGUUGAUUACGUCCCUGCCCUUUGUACACACCGCCCGUCGCACCUACCGAUUGAACGGUCCGGUGAAAUCUUGGGAUUUGCUUUGCUUUCGUUUGUUCGAUGCUCGGCGAAGAACUUGAGUAAACCUUACCGUUUAGAGGAAGGUGAAGUCGUAACA